This 1010-nucleotide ribosomal RNA is filed under the name Ralstonia mannitolilytica. Its description in RNAcentral is "bacterial SSU rRNA". It matches the Rfam family "Bacterial small subunit ribosomal RNA", at positions 37 to 1033 of the family's 1533-position model. The record is from RNAcentral. Lineage: Bacteria; Pseudomonadati; Pseudomonadota; Betaproteobacteria; Burkholderiales; Burkholderiaceae.
CGGCGGCAUGCCUUACACAUGCAAGUCGAACGGCAGCGGGGAGAAGCUUGCUUCUCCUGCCGGCGAGUGGCGAACGGGUGAGUAAUACAUCGGAACGUGCCCUGUAGUGGGGGAUAACUAGUCGAAAGAUUAGCUAAUACCGCAUACGACCUGAGGGUGAAAGUGGGGGACCGCAAGGCCUCAUGCUAUAGGAGCGGCCGAUGUCUGAUUAGCUAGUUGGUGGGGUAAAGGCCCACCAAGGCGACGAUCAGUAGCUGGUCUGAGAGGACGAUCAGCCACACUGGGACUGAGACACGGCCCAGACUCCUACGGGAGGCAGCAGUGGGGAAUUUUGGACAAUGGGCGAAAGCCUGAUCCAGCAAUGCCGCGUGUGUGAAGAAGGCCUUCGGGUUGUAAAGCACUUUUGUCCGGAAAGAAAUGGCUCUGGUUAAUACCUGGGGUCGAUGACGGUACCGGAAGAAUAAGGACCGGCUAACUACGUGCCAGCAGCCGCGGUAAUACGUAGGGUCCAAGCGUUAAUCGGAAUUACUGGGCGUAAAGCGUGCGCAGGCGGUUGUGCAAGACCGAUGUGAAAUCCCCGAGCUUAACUUGGGAAUUGCAUUGGUGACUGCACGGCUAGAGUGUGUCAGAGGGGGGUAGAAUUCCACGUGUAGCAGUGAAAUGCGUAGAGAUGUGGAGGAAUACCGAUGGCGAAGGCAGCCCCCUGGGAUAACACUGACGCUCAUGCACGAAAGCGUGGGGAGCAAACAGGAUUAGAUACCCUGGUAGUCCACGCCCUAAACGAUGUCAACUAGUUGUUGGGGAUUCAUUUCCUUAGUAACGUAGCUAACGCGUGAAGUUGACCGCCUGGGGAGUACGGUCGCAAGAUUAAAACUCAAAGGAAUUGACGGGGACCCGCACAAGCGGUGGAUGAUGUGGAUUAAUUCGAUGCAACGCGAAAAACCUUACCUACCCUUGACAUGCCACUAACGAAGCAGAGAUGCAUUAGGUGCUCGAAAGAGAAAGUGGAC